RNAcentral lists this ribosomal RNA (419 nucleotides) under uncultured bacterium. RNAcentral describes it as "bacterial SSU rRNA". It matches the Rfam family "Bacterial small subunit ribosomal RNA", at positions 356 to 772 of the family's 1533-position model. The record is from RNAcentral.
GGGGAAUAUUGGACAAUGGGCGCAAGACUGAUCCAGCCAUGCCGCGUGCAGGAUGAAUGCCCUAUGGGUUGUAAACUGCUUUUGUACGGGAAUAAACCCCUCUACGUGUAGAGGGCUGAAUGUACCGUAAGAAUAAGGGUCGGCUAACUUCGUGCCAGCAGCCGCGGUAAGACGAAGGACCCAAGCGUUAUCCGGAUUCAUUGGGUUUAAAGGGUGCGUAGGCGGGUUGAUAAGUCAGUGGUGAAAGCCCAACGCUUAACGUUGGAACUGCCAUUGAUACUGUCGAUCUUGAAUGUGUUUGAUGUGGGCGGAAUAUGACAUGUAGCGGUGAAAUGCUUAGAUAUGUCAUAGAACACCGAUUGCGAAGGCAGCUCACAAAGCCACUAUUGACGCUGAGGCACGAAAGCGUGGGGAUCAAA